AAUCGAGGCCCCGUAAUUGGAAUGAGUACACUUUAAAUCCUUUAACGAGGAUCAAUUGGAGGGCCAGUCUGGUGCCAGCAGCCGCGGUAAUUCCAGCUCCAAUAGCGUAUAUUAAAGUUGUUGCAGUUAAAAAGCUCGUAGUUGGAUCUCAGGAUUUGGAUGGAUGGUUCGCUUUCGGGCGCUACUAUCUGUCUGACCUACUCUAGUCGUGGAUGCCUUGGGUGCUCUUAAUUGAGUGCUUUUGGUGCCCGGCGCAAUUACUUUGAAAAAAUUAGAGUGCUCAAAGCAGGCGUAUUGCCUGAAUAGUGUUGCAUGGAAUAAUGAAAUAGGAGUUUACUUCUAUUUUGUUGGUUUUAGGAGGUGAACUAAUGAUUAACAGGGACAGACGGGGGCAUUUGUAUGGAGGGGUUAGAGGUGAAAUUCUUGGAUCCUCUCCAGACAAACUACUGCGAAAGCAUUUGCCAGGAAUGUUUUCACUAAUCAAGAACGAAAGUCAGAGGUUCGAAGACGAUCAGAUACCGUCCUAGUUCUGACCAUAAAUGAUGCCAUCUAACAAUCCACGAAGUUUGCUUGUACGAACUCGUGGGCGGUCCCCGGGAAACCAAAGAUUUUGGGUUCCGGGGGAAGUAUGGUUGCUAAGCUGAAAACUUAAAGGAAUUGACGGAAGGGCACCACCAGGAGUGGAGCCUGCGGCUUAAUUUGACUCAACACGGGAAACCUCACCCGGCCCGGACACUUUUAGGAUUGACAGAUUGAAGGCUCUUUCUUGAUCAAGUGGUUGGUGGUGCAUGGCCGUUCUUAGUUGGUGGAGCGAUUUGUCUGGUUAAUUCCGAUAACGAACGAGACUCUACUCUGCUAAAUAGAACGUUGAUAUAUAAAAGUCAGUGCUGACUUCUUAGAGAGACUAACGGCGUUUAGCCGUGUGAGAAAGAGCAAUAACAGGUCUGUGAUGCCCUUAGAUGUCCGGGGCCGCACGCGCGCUACACUGACUGCAGCAACUAGUAUGCUCCUGGUUUGAAAAAACUGGGUAACCUGGUUGAAUUGCAGGCGUGACAGGGAUCAGAGUUUGCAAUUAUCCUCUGUGAACGAGGAAUUCCCAGUAAGCGCAAGUCAUUAGCUUGUGCUGAUUACGUCCCUGCCCUUUGUACACACCGCCCGUCGCUACUACCGAUUGAAUGGUUUAGUGAGGUCUUCGGAUUGGUGCUGAUGGAGUGGUUCUCUGCUCUGUUAGUGCCGAGAAGAUGAUCAAACUUGAUCAUUUAGAGGAAGUAAAAGUCGUAACAAGGU
RNAcentral lists this ribosomal RNA (1287 nucleotides) under metagenome. RNAcentral describes it as "SSU rRNA". It matches the Rfam family "Eukaryotic small subunit ribosomal RNA", at positions 493 to 1800 of the family's 1831-position model. The record is from RNAcentral.